UUGAUGAUACUUCGGCAUCAAAACAAAAUCUUCUAGUGAAAGUUUUGAAGUACACUCUAAUUUAAUUGUUUAGAGCCUAGGCUCUAUAUAAACUUGUCCCCGAAGGUAAAUGGCAGUGAUAUAAAAGUAGAAAAUUUUUUGGACCACUAAUGUCCUUGUUAAAUUUGAAAUGUCCACUCAAAUAGCGGGUAAAAUUUAUCAAAAAGGGUCUUUUUGGAAUUUACAAAGAAAACUGGACAUUUUGAGACCAAAAGGAGCUCAAAUAUGACUAUGGCUCCGCUCAUUUGUAAACCCGGGUUGAGCCGAUGAUGGUGGCACCAGCCAUGACAUUCGUGCAAAAUUGACAAGUGCUGGCAGAUGACGGGCUCAGGUCUCUCUCUAGGGUGGCGACCGGUGGUAAUACUGCCGCUUGCCCCAAGCCAUUGGUAUUACUAUCGGCACCAUCUCUCUCUUUUCGGGCCGGUCGCAAAUGCCAAUGACCCCAUGCCCUCUUCUCUUUCCCUCUAUUUUGGGCUGGCAGUAAAUGCUGCCAACCCCUGGCCCUCUACUCUUCUCCCUCUCUUUCAGGCUGGUGGUAAAUGCUGACCGUGCCUGGCCUGUCUUCUCUCAUUCUCUUUCUCUUUGUCAGGCUGGCAAUAAACACUGCCAGUGCCGACCCUUUUCUCUCUCUCUUUCAAACUCUCACUCUUUCAUGAGCCCUCACUCUUUCAUGAGCUCUCACCCACCAUCCUCAUAAAUUCAAACCCAUCUCCAUUAUCACUCUUUCCUCAUUUGGCGCAGCCCCCAUUCACCCGUCCUUUCCACUUUUGUGCUUCUACUAGCCCAUUUCUCACAAUCACAUCUCCUGGUUAUUGGUCCUCUUGCUUAUGCAUCAGUUUUGAACGCUUUGGGGCACAAUCACGACAGCCGAAGAAGAUUCUGCUCUUUCCUCGAAAAACAUCUCAUUACAAUCCCCUCUUUUCUCAUGUUCUCUUCUCAUGAUACUGAAAAUCAAGCAAAAGAUGUAUUAGAAACCCACAUCAAAAUUCAUUUAUGAGCCUGCCCAAGAGUCAUUCCCUUAAUAGGCUCUUCUGAAACCCAAUCCUCGGAAAUAAGUCCUUAAAACGAUUGGUGCUGGUGUAUUCAAGAUGAGUGAGAGGAUCUGUCCAAGAUCGGGUAUUUUGAGAAUCUAGAAAGUAUACCUAUCUAAGGCUCCCAAAAUAAACGAGUCUUGUUUAAUGCAGAUGCUUAACAUUUGGGUUUUUGGUGGGUCUAACUUAUGUAAUUUGGUACCAAACUUGGCCCACCCAUAACCGCUUAGCAAUUGAUAUGGACAGAGAAAUAUGGACCAUUAGAUGCAAAACCUUCCAUAUGUGGUAAGGGGAUAAGCUCCUAUACUUAUAAAAGGAGCUCACUCACCAAACACAGAGUCAUUGUCCAUCUCUCUAGUUAUCCACAAACUUUACAGCAAAAAAAAAAUUUCUUUUCAAUCUUUCCCUCUCUAUCAUUUUUCAAUCGAAUUAUUUUUAUAAUUAUUUUUCGACACUUGUAUCAAAGCGUGGUUCAUUUCUUUGUGAGGCUCUAUCAAACUUACAGGAUUCACUCAAUUUCUCUCUACCAGAAGUCCAUAAGGGGGCACGCUAUUGCCACAUGCAGUUUUACACAAGCAAUAGUGUUUCUCUCUCUACCCUUCAUACCAAAGCUUUUAUUUUGUCUUCUUGAUUUAUGCAGGCAAUAUUGUUUCUCCCUCUACCCUUCAUACCAAAUCUUUAUUUUGUCUUUAUAUACUUUUGUCAUCUCCUUAAUUGAAACUGGAAAAUAUUGUUUCUGUCUCUACCCUUCAUACCACAGCUUUUAUUUUGUCUUUAUAUACUUUUUUAUCCUCUUAUUUUGUUUUUAUGUGUGCUCUCUCUUCCCCUAGGGCCUGUUUGAUAACUGGAAGCAAGUUCAUAAACUGUAAAUUGGAAGUUCCUGAAUAACUAUACAUUAGUAGUUCUUGGUUUCUGUGUUUGAUAAUUACCCCAGGGAAGUUGGGAAGUUAAGAAGUUCCUGGUUUUUGUGUUUGAUAACCUCUUGGGAACUUAAGAAGUUCAUAGUUUCUAUGUUUGAUAACCUCCUAGGAAGUUAAAGAAGAACUGGGUAUCUGUAUUGUAUUAGCUAAGUAAUACGCAAGAUGUAAAUGUUAAAAUUGAUACCUAGAUAUUAUUUAUUUUUUAUUAAUUUGUAGAAUAUUAUUUUUUGGAAUACAAUAUCAAUUGAAAGCAAAGUACAAUAUUAUUUUUCUAUAAUAACUUGAGCACUACUUACAUUCACCACUGAUGCCUCCAUAUCCCAACCUAAAAAAUGUACGUCAUUCACAAUUCAAAAAUAUUCAUCAUUCACAAGUGGUACACAUAACAUUUGUGAGUUCUCUCUCUCUCUCUUAAGAUUAUAAUGGCACACAACAUUUAUAUGUUAUCUACUAAGGAAUUUGUGAUGCAUGUCAAGCAACAUUCACAAUUCAUGCAUCCAUAUAUAACCAUGUACAAAACCAGCCCAUUCAACAUAGUCUGUAAUAGUUUAAACAUACAUAAUUGAAAUGCAAGCAGUAAGAAAUCAGCUCAUUCAAACACACAUACAUAAUGCAAGCAGUAAGAAAUCAGCCCCCAUUCAACCAUUACCUGAAAUAACUUGAGCACUACUUACAUUCACCACUGACCACUGAUGCAUCUAUAUCCAACCUAAAAAAUAUUCAACAAUAAAACAACAAUGUUGUUUGUCCCUUAAAACUUUUGUGUGUUCUCUCUCUCUCUCUAACAUUAUAAUGGCAUACAACAUUUGUGUCUUAUCUCUUAAAACAUUUGUGAUGCAUGUCAAGCAACAUUCACAAUUCAUGCAUCCAUAGAUAAUGUACAAAACCAGCCCAUUCAACAAUAACCUGUAAUAGUUUAAACAUACAUAAUUGAAAAUGCAAUUGAAUGAACACAACAUUUCAACAAUAACCUAAAAUAGUUUAAACAUACAUAAUUGAAAAUGCAAAUAGUAAAAAAUCAGCCCAUUCAACAAUAACCUGUAAUAACUUGAGCACUAUUUACAUUCACCAGUAAAAAUCUGCUAUCUUAUUCAAAUAUGCAAUUUGAGGAAGUACUUGUGAAUUGCCUUAACACCUUGGCAAGUGUCCUGUAAUAUCACAAGACUCAACUGAGUCAAGCCUCUUUUUAUUGGUUAAUCGAUAGAUUAAACCAAAUAGAUCCUGUAUGACUCAGCUCAGGAACCUACCAAGCCAAGCUGAGUCACUGAUCAGAGGUAAAAGGUCAAGUCUUUGGAAUGUUUAAAGCCUUGUUGAUAAAUACAACUUAAAGGGAAGGUAUCUAACAACCAAAUUCAAAGUGGUCCAAGUGUUUACAUUCCAUUUUCAUCCUGAAUAAUUUCCAAUCAAUAAGCUCUUUUAUCAAUUCAUUUGUUGUCACUGCAUCUUGCUAGAAUGCAAGCAAUCCAUUUUAUUUAGCAUCAAGGGUUCGCCACAAAACAAAAUAGAGGCCCUCAAAAAGGACAAUAGUAUAGAAGAUAAUAUUCCAAAUUAUUACCUUCAUCUAACCUACACCUUGAGCAACUAUGAGAAACCAUGUGACUAUGCUGCUGGAUAAUAACAAUCAAAGAACAAAGACGAAUGGACUUUUUUCAUGUAGAUAGGUAACUGAAAAUGCAAUAGAAUAAACACAAAAUUCGACGAGGACUCAAAAUUUGUGGCCACAAAAUAAUUGAAAAUGCAAUAGAAUGAACAUAUCUUGUUUGCAUAAAAAGAUAUAAACAAACCCACAUUAUGAAUGGGCAAGAGAAUAGCCAAAUUUUAAAGACCAAACAGAAUUUCUAUCAAUUUUGACAAAUAAUCAAAUGGCCAAGAAAAUACCCACACAUCCCAAGUAGCUCAAGGAAGCCCUCUCAAUGAUGCAAUAACAAUCAAUAAAAUCAAUCACCCUGUAGGCAAACAUCCCAAAUAUAAUUGAAGAAAAUAGCCAGACAUAUGAAGUAUGAUGCCAUCACAAUCAAUAAAAAUAAUACAAAUAAAGCAUGAUACGUAUAAAGUAUGAUGCAAUCGAUUUUGCUAUUUUCACAUAAUAAAUGGGAGAAAGUGCAUGUCUUACAUUCAAUUCCACUUGAGCACAAUUCGUAUAUUCAAUUCCAUUUAAGUUGUGUUUUUGUUGUCUCUAAGAUGAAAUGAGUGUCAAUGGAUUCAUAAGAGGUAGCAAAAAUGCUGAUGAUGGAGAGAUGCACCGAUCACAAUAAUAAUCUCAAGAAGCUCAAUAUAGAAUUACAUAAAAGUUAUAUGCCAGAAUUCAAAACUUAACUGAAAAUGAGUGGAAACCCAUGUAUACAAUACAAACAAACAAAAAAUUAACUUUAAAAUUAGCUAGAAAUUACACACAAAUUGCCUGAAUGAAUUACUCAAGAGAAUUCCUUAAUCCAACACAAAUCAUUGAGAAUAAACUCAACAAAAUAAACCAAGAAUAAACUCAACCAAAAAAAUACUCUAAUCCAAGGACUCGCUGUUUGCAUCUUCUUACUCAAUAGUAAAGUAGUCAUUGAGAAUAAACUCAAAAAAAUAAAACCAAGAAUAAACUCAACCAAAAAAAUACUCUACUCCAAGGAAUGAAAUUGACAAAUAAUUUAUCCCAGAAAACUAACGAAAGGAGAACAAAUUUCAACCCCACCACUCAUUUUGAAGCACAGAGUCCACCCAUAGCAAUUCUACAUAACAAUAGCAAUAAUUAGCAACAAAAAUUGUGGAACAAAUGUUUACGUGCGAAUCUGUGCCGAUGUCUGAUGUGACAUCAACUCUGUCCAGAAUUUCUGGUUUGGGGGAGGGGAUGGUCUACAACAAAAUAACCAUAGCAGAAAUUUCAAAAAAAAAAAAAGUGCACAAGAAAAAAUGAGCACUCAUGAUGAAUAAAUCAUGGAUAAACUGAAUAAAAUAUUUAUGGACAGCGUACAAAAUAUUAAUUCAGACACAGAAAUAUGCAAUGAAACACAAAUAAACUUCACAGUUCAGAUCAACAAGGUCACCAACUAUUAGCAGAUCAUGAAAAACCAGAAUUAGAUCACACCAAAACAUCAUCGAAUUUCACCUCAAAACGCAUUAAAAAAAAAGAAUUGCACCACAAAAGAUACAAAUAAUCCACGAAAUACGAAAUAAGCACAACAUAGUGAAAAAAAAAAAACCAAUUUAACAUUCCAUUCAUGUCAAAAAGACCAAUAAUGAAGAAAAAUUGAAGAAAAAAAACAAGAAACUAGACAACAAACCUAAGAAUGAUUCUUCAGUUAAAUGAGUGAAAUAAACCAACUUGAGCACCGUAUAAUCACUUUAACAAAAAAACCCUAUUAGAUUUGGGUAUUCUCUAUCGAAAAAAAACUUAACAAAACCCUGUAAAAUUCUAGAGAGAGACCAAUGAAACCUUCAACCACAAUGUCGAGAGAUAGACUAAUAUUAUCCCAAAGUUCUAGAGAGAGACACAAAUCCAACUUAAGAUUCAAUGAUAUCUAGUGACAACACAUAAAGGGGCUCAGAAGAGCCUCUCAGAAAUUCUAGAGAGAGAAACAAAGAGACCAAGACCAAGAGAGAGAGAGAAAGAUAGAUGAGCGUACGUGGUAUCCUCUGUAUAGAGCUAGGGUCCGGGAUGCCCAGAGCGACAAGAAGAGAGUGAACUAUGGGUGAGGAGGAAAGAAGUUGCAGCGUUGAGCUUCGGUGGGCCAAGCGAGGUUGAGAAACUUAGGGCCUGCGGCGAAGAGAGGGACUGCUACGAAGAAAGGGAUGGCUCAGCUGCGAAGAGAGGGAUGGCUCAGGGCAAGAGCAAACUUUCGUGGGUGAAGUUUUAUAAAAACUUCCCACUUCAAGUUCCGCUUUUUAACACAUAAAGUAAACAGUAGAGGGGAACAUGAACAGUAAAGCGAAGUUCUCCAUUUAACUUCCAUUUUUUUAUCAAACACCAAACAUGAACAGUAAAGUGAAGUUCCAAGUUUCCGGAAUACACUUCUUGUUAUCAAACACGCACCUAAAGAGCAACGCUUUUGUCCAUGCUCUACACUUUUUUUUUAACUUCUAUUGCCUCCCUCACUCUCUGUUGAGAAGCUUCUUGGGUGAGAUAUCUGUUUGCAUCCUAAGUCAAAUGCUAAUCCACUGCUCUCUAGACAUGUGAAAGCUCUAUCGACCCAAAGUUUUAUUUUCGCUGAACAUUUCCGUAGUAAAAGCUGAUUCUUUCACACAGCCAAGCUCACGAUGUAGGGCUUCGAUUAUUUGUGCAGCAAAAAGACUUGGAUUUGUCGCCCUCAAUAAAGGAACUCUGUGACUCACCAUCGACCAAAAGGGCAUCACCAUCAUCACCCGAGAAAUUGAUAGAAUCAUUUAUCAAGAAAGUAGUUAGAUGAUCUAAACAUUGAAUUUGUUGAUAUUCCUAUAUUUCUUUGAUAGCAUGGCUGCUAUAUUGGUGAUGAGUGAACUAUCUAAAACUGAAAAACUUAAUGGGUCAAAUUUCAUUAUGUGGAAAAGAAAAAUGAACUACAUAUUGAUUCAAGACAAGAUUGACUACAUUUUGACUUCUACUAAACCUUAAACCCCUCUGCCCAUAGUAGAAGAGAACUUGUGAAAUGGGAAGGGGAUGAUAAAUUAGUAAAAACUACAUUGUUUCCGUUUACGGAAGAUGAUUUGAUAAGAGUUUUUGAAGAUUAUGAAACAUCCAAAUUAAUGAUGGAAGCUUUGAUUGAAAAAUAUGGAUCUACAUCUGAAACCCAUAUUCAACUUUUGGUUUGAGAAAUACAACUCAUGUCCGAUGAGGGAAAAUGAAUUCGUGGAAGAGCAUGUUAACAAAAUGCUUGUUCUUGCUAAAGACCUUGUUGCGACAAGAAGCCUCAUUCCUGAUCGUAUGCUUUUGUCAGCUGUAUCAAAUAGUCUCCCACGGUCAUAGGAACCUGUAGUCAUAGGAACCUGUAGUCAAUGCUCUAAAUUACUCAUCCCAAGGAAUUACCAAGUGGAACUUACCCAUGUAUCUGAGUAUAGAGAAAGAAAUAAGAAAUAAAAAGGGAAAGGCAGAAUUGUACUUUGCCCAAAAUUACUCUAAACAUGACUACCCUAGACUUGACAACAAUCACAACAAAAAGAAUCGAUUUAAAGCGAAUGGUAAGGUUUUCAAACCACAAAGGCCUACAACAACUCGCCAAAAUAUUGCACCUGCGGAGAGAUAGGGUAUAUUAAACCUAAAUGUCCAAAUAAAAAAUAUAUCCAAUGGCUACCACAGGAACAAUGGAUAACGGAGCAACCACAAGAAUAUCAAGAAAUUCGACUUAGUUUGUGUGGUCUCCGAACAUAUAGUGGUUGAUCAUGAUAUGAAAGGAUGAUGGGUGGACUCUACAUCGACCAGAUAUGUUUCAAAAACUAAGGAUGGUUUUGUCGAUUUGACGGAAGUCAAAACCAGUAGACCCUCUUUCAAAAGCAUCAAGAGGAUUGAGACAAGGGGACCCACUUUCACCUAUAUUACUUUGAUAGCUGAGAGCUUUAGUGUCAUGCUUAAUGGAUUGACAGUGCAAAGGAUCAUAUCAGGUGUUAAUAUUGGUACAAAUGGUCUUAUAGUAUCACAUUUACAAUAUGCUGAUGAUACUAUUAUAUUCUGUGAUCCAACAGUUACUGAAAUCACUUGCCUAUGGAUUUUUUUUUUAAAGCGUGGAACUUUCAAUCUGACUUAAAGUUAAUUUGAGUAAAACCAAGCUCAUUGGUAUUAGCUAUCCGCAAAUGGUAGUAUCAAGAAUGGCACAUCUAUUAGGUUGUGGUGUUGAGUCCUUACCUUGUACUCAUUUGAGAAUUCCCUUAAUGGAUUCGAGGCCCUUAAGAUCAAUUUGGGAUCCGGUGGUGGCGAGAUUUGAGAAGAAACUUGACACUUGGAAAGCUAAACCUCUUUCUAUAGGAGGAAGAUAUACGUUGAUUAAAUCCACUUUGUCUAACCUCCCAGUAUAUUUUAUGUCUUUAUUUAAGAUGCCAAAAGAAGUUGAAAGACAACUGGAGAGAAUAUGAGAAAUUUCUUGUAGCGAGAUGACAUAAGAAGGAAGAGAUUUCAACUGGUGAGUUGGGAAAAGUUUAUAGACCAAUGAAGGAAAGGGAGUGGGUGUUAAGAGACUAAAACAUAUGAACUCGGCACUUUUAGUAAAAUGGUGGUGGAGGAUCCAUACACAACCUAAGUCUUUCUGGGUGCUUGCUCCGUGAGAAAAAUAAGGAAUGGAUUUGAAUUUUGGUCACAAUAAAAGUCCAAGAAACAUGACAAGUUUGUCCCAUGUUUAGAGAGGUAUUGACUAUGAGAGAUCUGUGUAUCUACGGUAAUUUCGAAAAAUAGUGGGGAAUGGAGAAUCCACGCUCUUUUGGUUUGACAAAUGGAUUGGAGAUGAACCGUUGAGAUACCUUUUCCCCGAGGUCUUCUCAAAAGCUUUAAACCCGCUAGCAUCUGUUAAGGAGGCUAGUAGGGGUGUUUAUACUAAUAUUGUUUGGUCCAUUCCUUGCAAGUACAACAGAGGUACAGACAGAUUCAUUGAGGAGUAUUAGGCAUUGUUGGAAUUAUUGAAUGACACAUAUUUGACUCCAAAUAUGGAUGAUAACUUUAUUGGGGAUCUUACCCCUUCGGGAGACUUUUCAGUUAAGUCAACCUACAACCUAUUAUUUUCUGAUCAUUGGAGAGAAUUAGAUACUGGUUUAUUCAAGAUUAAAAAAUUGCAUUGGCCUCUUAAAGUACAGUUAUUCUUAUGGAUCUUGUGUCAAGAUAAACUAGCAAAUGUUGACAGCUUGAGAAAGAGGGGGUUUAUUAUAUCACCAAUGUAUGUAUCCUGUGCAAAGCCAGUGAUCAAACUUCGCAGCAUCUUUUCCUCUCAUGCCCUUUUGUUACUUAUCUUUGGGAUUUGGCUCGCCAGUGCCUCAAUCUAUCAUUACCUUUGCCCCAAAAUGUCCGAGCUCUUCUUGACCAAUGGAUUACACCCGAUAUUUCAAAGAUGGGAACUAUCCUUUGGAGAUCUAUUUGGGUUAGCCUUCUUUGGAAUGUGUGGAAGGAAAGAAAUAGAAGAGUCUUUGAUAGUAUAAGUGCAAAUCUGUCUACAUUAAAAUCGAAUAUUUUGGCAGUUGCAGUUGAUUGGCUCCUUGCACAUAAGGAUAGUGGCUUCAUUCUUAAAAGUCUUAUCAUUAGCAAUCCUUCCGGAGUGGCAACUAUGGUGUUACCAUCAAUACUCGUAGUGAGGUUGUUUGGAUACCACCACCAGUGAAUUCCUUCAAACUUAGUUUGAUGGAAGUUCACAUGGCAAUCCAGGGCCAGCCGGCUAUGGGGGACUCAUCAGAAAUAAUUUGGGUCACAUUAUUUUUUCUUACUCGGGUCAUUAUGGUAUCACAACAGCAAAUGAGGCGGAACCACGAGGUUCAUUAGAAGGUUUGAAAUUGCUAUGCACUUUGGAAGGGGACAGAAUUAUCGAAGGACGCAAAUGUCAUUGCCUGGAGUAAGAGAAUGGCCAAAAUCCCCUGGAGUCUAUUUUUCAUGAAAUUUGGGAUAUUUUGUCAACCUCUAUGGCGACGGUCCAACAUUGUUAUAGAGAGGCGAAUGAAGAUGUCGAUAUUCUUGCUAAAGGAGGAGUACAUAUUCCCUCUCUGUUGGUUACUUCUUUUCUGUAAUAUUGUGUCAUUGCUUGAACAUCUUGUAUUUUACAUAUGAAUUAAUAAUAAGUCAAACGUUACCGUUCAAAAAAACAAACCAGCGACCAGCAAAUGCACAUUGGAAAUGACACCUUUCACAUAUUAGCUAGAGUUGCCAGAGAUUGUAAAUUUCCUCCUUACUAAUACUUUACAUGCGUCAAAUAUGAAGUGCAACCUUAUUUUUGUCCCUAGGUUAGAUGAAAAGGGCAAUGAUAUCUAUUUCAGGUCUAGGAAGGUGUCUAUUUGAAAACAUGGAGAGUAUAAGUUUGGGGGGAGGAAGUUGAAAAUUUGUAUUAUCUAAAUAAUGUUAAUAAAAUGAAUAAUGUUACUUCUUAUAUCAAUAUGGCAAUGAAUGUGGCUGAAAAUGAUGAAUAUAUGCCACUCGAGAUUAUGACAUACUAAUAAAAGGGAAAUUAUCUCUUUAUCCCCUAUUUUUAACUUCUAUAUCUCAUGAGACCCAAGAAUUGAAAAUAUUACUUGUCAGCAGAGGUCUCUAUCUUAUAUAUCUUACAACCCCCUGGACCCCUUUGACCUUAAAUUUUUUACUACAAGAAACUACAAUGACACCCUAUCCAAACUUUUUUUCUUCCACAAAACUCCAUCUCUCUCACACUCUAAAACUCAAAGUUGCAGAAAAAUUCCCCUCUCUACAUCAUCUCUUACUCCUCUCUCUCUCUCUCUAAACAUUAUCCAGCAUCGUGGCCAACAAAAAAUGGAAUCUGAGAGAUAUGUGUCGUAUAUCCUCGGAAAGGGUACUCAGAUCAGUUCUUCGCCUAUGUUUCUUGGGGAAGAUCAAAGAGUUCCUUAAUAGCAAAGGACAUUUCCUUCUGCAGAGACUCAGGGACCGCAAUAUCGUACACAACCUCGAAAUACCCGGGGCCUUCCAGAGCAUCUCGCACCUCUCGUGUUAGGGUUUUCCAUCUCAAUCUCUCAAUGCAUGGUAUCAAAUUACCUAAGAAAUCAAGUACUGCUAUUUUCAUGCCCAAAUCAAAGCCCAUGUUCAAGACAAAUGGAGCUGAUGUUUUUUGGGUUGAAUGGGGAUAGAUUUGAUUUUUUGGUGGGUUUGUUUGCAAGAGGUGCGGUGUAUAUAUAGAGCAGGUCACAAGCUCUUUCCCUUUUGAUACAAGCACAAAUAUUAGUUUCUUAGUAAGAGCCGCUGGAGAAGAAAGUGACAGGAAUUCCUUAAUUAGAUUUCCCAUAUCAGUCAAAAAUGGCCACUGGUUCCUCUAUUACCCUAGGAAAACAGAAAGAGAAAAACCCAAAGUUGCUAGAGAGAGAAAAUGGCCACUGGUUCUUCUAUUACCUAAGGAAAGAGAAAAUCAAAACCUGUAGAAGUGAUCAGAAGCCCUUAAUAGUUCAUGUGUCAGAGAAAAGGAACGAUUGGAGACCAAAUCACAUCCAAAAAGAAACUCAAAUUUUUUUCUCUUUCUGUUACAGUUAACUUUGAAGAAGCCUGCAAAGAUCAGUUUCAGAGAGAGAGAGAGAGAGAUUCUGGGUUUUUGGAGUCGACAGUUACAAGAAGACGAAGAACUAGUGCUGGAUGAAAAGGGAAGUGGUACUCGAGAGAGAAAAUGGCCAUGGGUUCCUCUAUUACCCUAGGAAAAUAUAGAAAGAGAAAAUCAGAACUCGAAGAAAGAGAGUGCAGAGAGGGGAAAGAGAGAUAGAGUUUUGAGGAAGAAGAAAAGUUUGGAUAGGAUGUCAUUUCAGUAUUUUGUUGGGUCAAAAAUUUAAGGUCAAAGAGGGCCAGGGGGUUGUAAGAUAUAAAAGAUACAGACCUUUUGCUUACAAGUAAUAUUUUCAAUUCUUGGGUUUCAUGAGAUAUAGAAGUUAAAAAUAGGGGACAAGGAGAUAUUUUCCCUUAAUAAAAAUAAAAUGAAAAAAAUAGUUAAAAGAGCAAAUAUCCAUAAAGAGAUUUAAAUGGAAAAUGGCAAACUAGUAAAAACUCCUAUUUGCAAAGGAGCAUGAAACUAACAAAGAAAGAAUGUCCAAUUAAUGACACAGAUAAGGCUGAAAUGGAACAUAUUCCAUAUAAACAAGCCAUUAGGUCUAUUAUGUACAUUAUGCUUUGUACAAGACUUGACCUUAGUUUUGCAAUAAGAUACGUUAGUAGAUUUUAAAGUAACCCAGGUAUGACUCACAUACAAGCAAUUAAAAAAACACUCAUAUAUAUCCAUGGAACCAAACAUUAUAAAUUAUGUUAUCAGGUUGAUAACCUACAAAUUCAAGGAUUCUCUGAUGUAGACAUCAUAAGGAGAUCUAGAUGAUAAAAAAUCCACUUCUGGAAAUCCUUUCCUCUUUGGAGGAGGUUUUGUUUCUUGGUUUAGUACGAAAUAGGAAUGUAUUGCCUGGGGUACAAUGAAAGUGGAAUACAUCUCUUGUAGUAUAGUUUCUACUUUUGCCAUCUAGAAGCCGCUUCUUUAGAGAUUUGAAACUGGAAAUAGCCGACAAGCCAGUUCAUAUAUUUUGUGAGAAUCAAGCUACAAUUUUUUUAAUUAAAAAUGAAGCAAUUGGCUCUAAAGGAAAACACAUAGAAGUUGAUUAUCACUAUAUCCUAAACAAAGUGAAAAAGAAAGAAACUGCAGUAAGUUAUUUGCCUUCCAAUGAUAUGAUAGCAAAUCCUUUAACAAGGGAUUGCCUAAAUGUUCUCCAAGCAUUUGACUAUGAUGGGAUUUAAAGAAACAUAUUUUUUCUUCCCAAGAGGCUCCUUUUGAAUGCUACAAAGAAUGAAAUCCUAUGGGUAGAAAAAACCUUGUAACGAAGCAUGUCACAUUAGAUAAAACCUUAAACGGGUAAAACCUUAUGGUUUAGCAACGUUGGUGCAUUCGGCCUUUUAGCAAAGUUGGUGUGCUUUAGUUAGACCCCUAAAGCCUCAUGACCACCAUAGUGUUCAUGGUUCCUCUCUUACCUUCUAUUUUAAAUGCAUUUAGUUUAAUUAAAUUAUAUCAUAUGUUUGCUAUAAUAGUCUCAUUGCAUUCAAAUCCUUUGACUAUCUUUUGUGGUAGAUUUCAUUCUCUUUCUUUUUCUUAACCGCCCAUUAAUGAUAGUCUAACAAUCACAUUAAACCAAACAUUUGUUCUUUGGGGUAAGAGAGAGAAUGAUAAAAAAAAUGAAGGCUUAGCUAUCGAUAUGGGUAGCGAGAAAUCUAAACUAUUGAAUGCAAAUCCUUCCAUAUGUGGCAAGAGGAUAAGCUCCAAUGCUUAUAAAAUGGGCUUACUCACCCAUUAAAUAACAGAGAGAAAAAUCUCAUAGUCAUUGCCCAUCUCUCCUCUCUAGUUAUCCAUAAGCUUUACAGCAAAAUUCUUUUUUUAUCUAUAUUUCUCUCUCUAUCAUUUUUCAAUCGAAUUAUUUUUAUAUUUAUUUUUCAACACUUUUUUGUAUAAAAAUGGAUGUUCUGUUGGGAUUCGAACCCUGAUUAUAAGAAAUCUACAACUACUCGAACCGUUAAAAAAUCAUUGAUGGGUGGUUAAGCAAAGAAAAGAAAGAGAAUGAAAUCUACCAUAAAAGUGAGACCAUUAUAGCAAGUACAUAGUCUAAUUAAAUUUAGUUUAAAAAGAAGGUAAGAGAGCAACCAUGAACACUAUGGUGGUCCUGAGGCCUUAAUGGCCAUAUUCCAACACUCUCACUUGGCCAAAAAGCUGAAUGCACCAACAUUGCCAAGCCACAAGGUUUUGCCCGUUUAAAGUUUUACCCAAUGUGACAUGUUUUGCUACAAGGUUUUGUUCAUCUACAGGAUUUAAUUCUUUAUAGCAUUCAAAAGGUGCCUCUUGGGAAGAAAAACUAUAUUUCUUUAAGUCCCAUCAUGGACACAUGCUUGGAGAACAUUUCAGCAAUCAAUCUUUUUAUUAAAAGGUAUAUUAUCAUAUCACUGAAAGGCAAAUAAUUUACUGCAAUUUCGUUCUUUUUUGCUCUGUCUAGGAUAUAGUGAUAAUCAACUUCUAUGUGUCAGCCCUUAGAGCUCAUUGCUUCAUUUUUAAGUAACAAAAUUGUGGCCUGGUUAUCACAAAAUAUUUGAACUGGCUCGUCGAUUAUUUCCAGCUUCAAAUCCCUAAUGAAACGACUUAUCCAGACAACAAAAGUACAAGCUAUUCUACAAGAAAUGUAUUCUUCUACUAUUGUGCACUGCGCAACACAUUCAUGUUUUUUACUAAGCCAAGAAACAAAACCUCCUACAAAGAGGAAAAGAUUUCUAGAAGUGGAUUUCUAUCAUCAGGAUCUCCUGCGAAGUCUGCACCAGAGAAUCCUUGAAUUUUUAGGUUAUCAGCCCGAUAACAUAAUUUACACUGUUUGGUUCCUUGGAUAUAUCUGAGUAUCUUUUUAAUUGUCUGCCAAUAAGUCAUACCUGGGUUACUUUGAAAUCUACUGACAUAUCCUAUUGCAAAACUAAGGUCAGGUCUUGUACAAAGCAUAACAUAAAUAAUAAACCCAAUGGCUAGUUAUAUGGAAUAUGUUUCAUUUCAGCCUUAUUUGCAUCAUUAGUUGGACAUUCUUUCUUUGAUAGCUUCAUGCCUUUGCAAAUAGGAGUUUUUAUUAGUUUGCAGUUUUCCAACUUAAAUCUCUUAAUGACAUUCUCUAAAGAUUUUUCUUGAGAUAAACAGCGAAGCCUAGAAUUUCUAUCCCUUGUAAUUUUCAUUCCCAAAACAUAUGAUGAUUCUUCCAUAUCCUUCAUUUCAAAAUAUGAAUUAAGCCAAGAUUUUUAUUCAUCAUUUUCAUAUCAUUUCCAGCUAAUAGAGUAUCAUCCACACAUAGAGAUAAAUCACAAAUUUACUCCCAUUGUUUCAAACAUAUACACAGUGAUCCAAUCUAUUAGCUAUAUAGCCAGUUUGGGCGAUUAUCUUGUGAAAAGUUAAGUACCAUUACCUAGAUGAUUGGUUUAGAUCAUAUAAUGAUUUCUUCAAUUUAUAUGUUUAUUCUUCUUGACCUGCAACUACAUAUCUCUCUGGCUAAUUCAUAUAAAUAUCUUUUUUUAAUUCUCCAUUUAAGAAUAUUGUCUUAAUAUCUAAUUGAAAUUAUUCCAAGUUAUAAUGCUUACUAAUGCUAAUGUUAUUCUUAUAGAUGUAAAUUUUGCUACAGGAGAGUAUGUCUCCAUAUAAUCUAUUCCUUCUUUCUGAGUAAAUCAUUUGGCUACUAAUCUAGCCUUAUAUUUAUCAAUGGUUCCAUCAGCUUUAAAUUUCUUCUUAAGAAUCCAUUUACAUCAGCCUUCAUAUCUUCAGGAAGGUCUACAAGUUCCCCUACUUGAUUUCUUUAAUUAGAGUUAAUUUCAUUAUCUAUCGACCCAUUCAAACAAUUCAAGUGAAUUGAUAGCAUCACUAUAAGUACAUUCAUAUAUCUCAUCAUCAUGUAAGAAUAUAUAAUAUUCAUCUAAAUGGAAAGGAAGAGCUCUAGACCUUUGAUUUCUAUCUAGAUUUGGGGACCUUUGAUUUCUAUCUAGAUUAGGCGACUCAAUAAGGUCAAAAUCACUAGUUGUUGGUAUAAGAUCCAUGGAAUUUACUUGAUCUUUAUUAUACCCUUCUUCAAAUAAGUCAACUUCUUUAUUUUUAUUUUUAUCGUUAUCUAAAGUUUCUAGAAAAUGGGCAUCCCUACUCGAAAUUAAGUUCGUCAUGAUCAUAGAACUUAUAUCCCUUAGAAUUAUCACAAUAUCCUAUAAAUGAACAUUUAAUUAUUUUAUUGUGAAGUUUGACUCUUUGGUGAUAUGGGAUGAGCACAUGUACAGGCGAUCCCCAAAUUUUUAAUAUACGUAGGUCUAGUUUUCUUCAUGUCCAAAGUUCAUAAGGGGUCAAUUCUAUCGACUUCAUUGGCAAUCUAUUUAAAAUUAAUAUACCUAUACUAAUGGCUUUUCCCCAAAAAAUUUUAGCUAGGUUGGCUUGGCUCAUUAUAGACAUAACCAUUUCCAUGAAAGUCUUAUUGCGCCACUACACUACUUCAUUUUAUUGUGUGGUGUAUGGUAAGGUCGUUUAAUGUAUUAUACCAUAAUCUCUACAAAAUUGGUUAAAUAAUUUUGAUGUGUAUUCUCCUCCCCUAUCGGUCAUUGAAAUUUUAUGUCUUCCUAAUUGAUUUUCCGCUUCUGUUUUAUACUUUUUAAAUGUUUCAAGGCAUCAGAUUUUCUACUAAUAAAGUACACAUAUCCAUACCAGAGUAAUCAUCUAUGAAGGUUAUAAAAUUCUCCAACCUCUAUAUGUCUUAACAUUCAACGGUCCACAAAUAUCUGAGUGGAUUAUAUUAAGAAAUUUUUGUGAUAUUUAUCCUUGAAGGAAUGGUUUUCUAGACAAAUUUCCUGAUAGACAAGGUUCACAAGUUUGGAACUCAAUUUCUUUAAGAUUAGGUAUUAUUCAUCUUUUUACUAAUAUUUGCAUUCAUAGAUUCAAAAAGCAGACAGCCCAGUGCCUAGGGGCAGCUCCAUAAGGCCUAGGCGAUCCAUAAAACCUGGGCGCAUCGCCCAAGCCUAGGCGACCAAACUAGGCGGUCGAUCUCUAGGCGGCCGCCUAGGGCCUGCGCCCUGCAUAGAGGCAGAGAAAAAAAUCGUGAGGGCAUUUCAUGUCCUUUUUCUUUUUUCUUUUUUUUUAAGGCCCAAAAAUUAGGGUUUUAGGUUCAUUUGAAACCUAAACCUUGUUUGAGCCAAAUUUAGAGAGAGAAAACCACCAAAAAACUAGAUUGUUGUGAAUUUUUUAAGAUCGAAUGGUUACUCAAAGUUAACCAAAAUUGAUCAAAACAUCACUCAUUGGUAUUAUAUUUACUUUUUGAUGUUUUGUAAAGUUAUUAGGGGGUGUUUUAGAAGAUUUUGAGUAUUUAGAAGCAUCUUUGAGGUGGAACUUUGAAGAUUGAGCAAUCAAACUCAAAGUAAGUGAUUUUUUUUUAUUGCUUUAGUAAUUUGCAAUAUUUUUUAGAUGUCUUCUUUGGGAUUAAUAAGAGUGGUGAUCCCGGUUGGAAAUACAACUAUAACCCAGAUCCUAAUGAUAAAAAUUGCAAAAGAUGCAAGUUUUGUGAAAAGGAUACAAAAGGGGGAGUAAACCGGUUCAAGAAACAUCUUGCCGGUAUCAGGGGGGAUGUUGCCCCAUGUAAAAAGACUCAUGAUGUUGUUAAAGAGGAAAUAAAGAAUUUUUUGAACAUUGUGAAAAUGAAAAAAGAUGAGAGAAUUGCAACUAUAGCAUAUAUUGGGUCUGAGGUUCGGGUCAAUUUUGAUGAUGAUGAUAGUGAUGAGGAAAGGAUUGGGGAGGGAUGUCAAGAGGUUGAGCAAUCUAUUAUUAAGAGAAAGGGGAAGGGAGUUGUAGUUGCUUCUGGUUCCGGGACUAAGAAGCCUCGAGUUAGAGGCCUUAUGGAUAGUUUUUUACUUCGGCCUGACCCUAAAAUUGCAGGAGAGAACAAAAAAGCAAACCACCAUUGAAAAUAGAAUCAAGAAGGAAGAGAGAGAUAGAGCUGCAUAUUAUCUUGCUACAUGGUUUGAUAAGGUGGGCAUUCCUUUCAAUACCGCUCGCUUAAGCAGCUUCUAUGUUGCGAUAGAGGCAGUUGGCCAAUUUGGCCCUGGGAUCAAACCCUCAACCCCAUAUGAGCUUUCAGAGCCUUUUUCAAAAAAGGCAGUGAGUGCCACAAAGGAAGCAAUAGAACUUAAGAAUCAUGCAUGGGCUCAGUAUGGGGUUCUAUUAUGACUGAUGCUUGGAAUGAUAGAAAGAGAAGAAGUCAGAUGAAUUUUCUUGUCAAUUGUCCUGCAUGGACUAUUUUUUUGAGGUCUAUUGAUGCCUCUGAUCAUAUAUAUGAUGCCCACUACAUAUUUCAAGUGAUAGAAAAGGGAAUCAAGGAGGUUGGGGAGCAUCUUGUUGUACAGGUCGUCACAGACAAUGCUUCUCCUAAUGUUGCUACAUCUAAUUUGUUACGCAUAGCUUAUCCUAGAAUCUUUUGGACACCAUGUGCAGCACAUUAUAUAGACCUCAUGCUUGAGGCUCUUGGCGGUUUAACCGAGAUAUCAAGUGCAGUGAAGAAAGCCAAGUUAGUUACAAAUUUCAUUUAUAGCCACCAUCUCACCCUCAGCAUGAUGCGUACCUUUACAAAGAAAAAAGAGAUUGUGAGGCCUGGGGUCACGAGAUUUGCAACUUGAUACUUAUGUCUAGAUAGCAACAUUCGAGGAGAGUGCAGUUAAAGCAAAUGUUUAUCUCGGACGAGUGGAGAGCAUGCAAAUGGUCUAAGGAUCAGGUUGGGAAGAAGAUGAGACAUAUUAUCCUUUCUAAGGCUUUUUUGCAAGAGGUGAAGGGCGCUCUUAAGGUCUUCUUUCCUCUUGUCAAAGUCCUUCGUAUGGUUGAUAGUGACAAGCCUUCUAUGGGCCACAUAUAUGAUGCUAUGGAGAAAUACAAAAGAGAGAUAGCCCAAAAUUUCAAUGAUGAAGAAACCCGCACUACAAGCCUGUUUGGGAUAUUAUUGAUGAGAAGUGGGAUAGACAGCUACAUCGGCCAUUGCAUGCAGUUGGUUAUUUUUUAACCCAGCUUUGUUUUAUUUUGACAAGGAUAUACGAUCAAAUGAAACAAUUAUGAAUGGAUUUAAUGAGUGUGUAGAGGUCCUAGUCCCUGAUGUUGAAAUUCAGGAUAUUAUAUGCGCUGAUGAGCUGAUAAAUUACAAGUGCUCAUUAAAGUCUUUUGGGACUCCAAUGGCGAUGAGGCAAAGGACCAAAACUGGACCAAGUAUUAAUAAUAUUUUUAAGCUCAUCUUUAUCAAGUUCAAGUAAUCAAGUAAUUCUAUUAUUUAUUUAUGAUUUUUUUUAAUAUCUUUGCAGCCCAUUAGUGGAGCCACCAUGGGUGUAGUUCUCCAAAUUUCCAAAAGUUGGCCAUUAGGAUCUUAAACCUAACCACUUCUCCAUCCGGUUGUGAGCACAGUUGGAGUACUUUUGAAGGGGUAAGGGCGUAAGGGUAAUUUGUAUAAUUUUAUAAAUAAUACAUGAACCAUAGAUAUUCGAUUUUAAUUAGAGUCAUUUGAUUUUGUUAGAUUCAUACAAAGAAAAGGAACAGACUUGAAUCAAAGAGGCUCAAUGACCUAGUUUAUGUCAAGUACAAUCGAUUCCUGAAGGACAGGUUUGCUAAGAGAGAUACGAUAGACCUCAUCAGAUCAAAAAAUAUGGACCAUGCUAUGGAGUGGUUAGUUGAUGAUGAUGAGGUCGAGGUGCAUGAAGGAUUGAUAUGGGACAUGGUCAUGGACGCUUCAGAGACAUCAGCUGACCCUACUAGGGCCACUAGAUCUUCUGCACAAAGAACAAGGAUGGAGGAAGAGGAGGAAAAAGAGGUUGAUUCAGAAGAGACGGAGGAGGACAAGGACGACCAAUAUGUCGAGGAUAGUGACGACUCUGUCGACUCCGAUGUAUAUGAUGCCAAUGCAACUAACCCAAUAUUUUCUGAUGAUGAAUGAAUGAUGAUUGAUGAAUGUUGAUUGUAGACUAAUUAUUAAACUUUGAAAUUUGAACCUUGAUUGAAGUAAUGUGUAUUGAUUAUUGAACUAUUGAAUAUUCUUUUGAGGCUUCAAGUAUUACUUUCAUAGUUUGAUAGUAUCAUAAUUCAAUUUUGUUGUCUUCCUCAUGGUGGUCAGGUGGUGAAAUGCAGUACUAGUAUGAUACUAUUUGAUAACUUGGUUUGAUAAUUUGGUUGGUUGGAAAAUUUUAAGUUUUAAUUGAAUAUAGAGUAUGAACUAACUUAUGGACUAUGGUUAUGCUUAUGGAGUGUGUGUUAAAUGCUGAAUAAUAUAUAGUAUAAUUUGAAUUAUGUAUGGCAAUACAUAUAACUGAUACUGACAAAACUGCAGAAUGCCAUAAUCCUUAUUUGGAUUCAACCAGGCCACCCAUGUUCUGGGCGCCUGCUUAGGAGCUGGGCGGCCUGGACCUCCAGGCUGCCUAGGACCCACCUAGCGCUUUUUGAAACACUGUUUGCAUUGUAUUUUUAUUAAUAUGUCUAAAUCUUAAGUGGCAUAUAUAUGCAUCAUUUUCAGCCACAUUCAUUACCAUAUUGAUAUAAGAAGAAAUAACAUCAUUUAUUCCAUUAACAACAUUUAGAUGAUACAAAUUUUCAACUUUCUCCCCCUAAACAUAAACUCGACCAUGUUUUCUAGUAGAUACCUUCCCAGAUCUGAAAUAAAUGUCAUCGCCCUUUUCGCCUAACCUAGGGACAUAGAUAAGUUUGCGCCUCAUAUUAGGCGCAUAUAAAGUAUUAGAGAGUAGAAAAUUUACAUUCUCAGGCAACUCCAGCUUCUAUGUGCCAACACCUAGCACAUCACAGAAGGUGUCAUUUCCCAUGUAUAUCUGCUGGUCGUCGGUUUUGGCUUCCUUCAAAUCGACAAAACCAUCCGUAGUGUUUGAAAUAUGUCUAGUUGAUGCAAAGUCCACCCACCAUCCUCUCAUAUUAUGAUCAGCCACAAUAGAUUUAGAGAUCACACAAACUAAAUCGAAUUUUUGUUAUUCUUGUGGUUGCUCCUUUGCCCAUUGUUCAUGCGGUAGCCAUUAGAAAUAUUUUUACUUGGACAUUUAGUUUUAAUAUGCCCUAUCUUCCUGCAGUUGCAAUAUAUUGGCAGGUUGUUGUAGGUCUUUCCCCCUUGUGGUUUGAAAACCUUACCCCUCCUUUAAAUCGAUUAUUUUUGUUGUGAUUGUUGUAGGGUUUAGGGUGGUCAUGUUUAGAGGAAUUUUGAGCAAAGUACAAUUCUACCUUUCCCUUUUUAUUUCUUCUGUAUUCCUUUAUACUCAGGUGCCUGGGUAAAUUCAACAUGGUAAUUCCUUGAGAUGAGUAAUUAAGAGCAUUGAUCACAGGUUCUCAUGACUGUGAGAAACUAUUCAAUACAGUUAACACUUGCAUAAGAUCGAGAUGAGGUUUCUUGUCGCAGCAAGGUAUUUAGCAAGAACAAGCAUUUUGUUAACAUGCUCUACAUGGAUUUAUUUUCCCUCAUCCUACAUGAAUUGAAUUUCUCAAGCAAAAAGUUGAAUAUGGGUAGAUCCAUCUUUUUUCAAUCACGCUUCCGUCAUUAAUUUGGAUGUUUCAAAGUCUUCAAAAAUUCUUAUCAAAUUAUCCUCCACAAAUAUAAGCAAUGUAAUUUUUGCUAAUUUGUCAUCCCCCUCCCAUUCCACAAGUUUUCUUCUACUAUGAGCAGAAGCGUUUAAACCCAAUUAAAGUUUAGUAGAAGUCAAAAUGUAGUCAAUCUCGUCUUAAAUCAAUAUAUAGUUCAUUUUUCUUUUCCUCAUAUUGAAAUUUGACCCAUUGAGUUUUUCUGUUUGGAUAGGUCACUCAUCACCAAUCUAGCAGCCAUGUUAUCAAAGAAAUACAGGAAUAUCAACAAAUUGAAGUUUUAGAUCAACUAUCAAAGAAAUAUAGGAAUAUCAACAAAUUCAAGGUUUAGAUCAACUAACCACUUUCUCGAUAAAUGAUUUUAUCAAUUUCUCGGAUGAUGAUGGUGAUACUGUUUUGGUCAAUGGUGAGUCACAUAUCUCCUUUAUUGAGGGCGACAAGUCCAAGUCUUUUUGCUAUAAAAAUAAUCGAAGCCCUGUAUGGUGUGCUUGGCCGUGUGAAGGAAUCAGCCUGUUGCUUUACUAUGGAAAUGCUCAGCGAAAAAUAAAACUUUUGGUCGAUAGAGCUUUCACACGUAUAGAGAGCAGUGGAUUAUCGUUUGACUCAAGAUGCAAAAAGAUAUCCCACCCAAUAAGGUUCUCAACAGAGAGAGAAGGAGGCAACAAAAGUUAAAAAAAAAGUGUAGAUAAUGGACAAAAACAUUGCUCUUUAAAGGAAGAGAGAGCACACAUAAAGACAAAAUAGUGUUGCAUGCGUAAACUUGCAAGUGGCAAUAGUGUGCCCCUUAUGAACUCUAGACAGAAACAAGAGAAUCUUGUAAAUUUGAUAGAGCCCCACAAAGAAAAGAACCACACUAUGAUAUCAGUGUCAAAAAAUUAUUAUAAAAACAAUUUGACUGAAAAAUGAUAGAGAGAGAAAGAUAAAAAAAAAAGAAAAAUUGCUAAAAACCCCCAAAUAUGGACUAUCUAGGCACUCUACCCCCAACCUAACUUUUCCUAACAUAUUUUUCCCCAAAACCAACUUUUCUAGUUAAUACCCCCAAUACAAAAGUUCAUUUUUUUAACGAAAAUACCCUUCCAGUACAUAAAAAAUCAUUUUCAGAUCCCAAUAAAAAGAAACGUCAGACUGCACUUGUACAAUGCCAGACUGCUCAUUCAAAAACACCGUACCGCCACUUUAAAAUGCCUGACUGCCCUUCAAAAUGCCGUGUCGUCACUUCAAAAUGUCGAACUGCCCCUUCAAAAUGCCGGACUGCCUAUUUCUCCAAUAGCAUAAUCCCCGGACCGUCACAAUGAAAUGUCGGACCGCUAUUUCAAAACGCCGGAUCGCUAUUUCAAAUCACUGGACCGCCUCUUCUCAACACCAGACCGCCUCUUCUCAACACCAGACUGCCUCUUCUAACUGUCGGAUUGCCCUUUUCCAGUGAAAACUAUCGUUAUGUGAGGGAAGGGUAUUUUUGUCAAAAAAAAGUGAACUUUUUGUAUUGGGGGGCUAUUAGCUAGAAAAGUUGGUUUUGGGGAAAAAUAUGUUAGGAAAAGUUACGUUGGGAGUAAAGUGCCUAGAAAGUCUAUAUUUGGGGGUUUUUAACAAUUUUCCCUAAACAAAAAGAAAAAAAAGAUUUUGUUGUAAAGCUUAUGGAUAACUAGAGAGAUAGGCAAUGGCUCUGAGAUUUUUCUCCUGUGUUCUGUAAUGGGUGAGAGAGCCCCUUUUAUAAGCAUUGGAGCUUAUCCCCUCACCACAUAUAGCAAAUUUUGCAUCCAAUGGUCCAGAUUUCUCUGUGCCCAUAUGAAUAGCUAAGCCUUCCCAUUUUUUAUCACUCUCCCUCUUACCUCAAAGAAAAAGUGUUUGGUUUAAUGUGACCGUUAGAACAUCAUUGAUGGGUGGUUCAGAAAAACAAUGAAAUCUACUAUAAAAGAUAGUCAAAGGAUUUGAAUGCGAUAAGACCAUUAUAGCAAGUAUACGAUAUACUUUAAUUAAAUUAAAUACAGUUAAAAUAGAAGAUAAGAGAGUGACCAUGAAUACUACGAUGGUCAUGAGGCCUUAUUGGCCAUAAUCCAACAAGUAGAGAGUUCUACAAAAUAAAGUUGUGCAAACUUCCAAUAUACCCAAAGAUAUCCUCAAAGUACUGGCCCAAAACAACGUCGGAUGGAACACAUAACGAGAAAAUAAUUUUUGGACAAUGGUCAAUGGGCUGUGGAGCAGGGAAAAGUAUCAAAAUUACAAAGAUGCCUACUCAAAACUCAUGCAGAUGGACAGUGGAAGAACCAUAACCUCAAAAUUUCAUGCCAUUUGGACACUGUUUGAUGGGGUUUAUUGAAGUUUUUCCCAUUCAAAAUAUUAUUGAAAGGACGUGGUUAGCAUGCGGCAAGCCCGAAUAUUGUAUAAAUGUGGGCUUGGCAAUAAAUAUAUUUUUAAUUAUAAUUUGAUCCUAAUUUUUAGAGUACAUAUAAUUUUUAAUAUGGAGAUCAAGAAUAUGAAAAAUAAAUAAAUUUUGAAAACUAGAAAUAAUAGUUAUAUUAAAAAAGGGUGCGGUUUGUAUAGAGCCUAGGCUCUAAACAAUCAAAUUAGAGCCUCCCUUCAAAUCGUGUUGAGAAAUAUGGUUUCAAUAUUGGAAAUCUUUGUGAUAGCCUUAUUUUCAUCUUUAUUUAUAAAGUUUAGAGCUUCAAAAUACUGUAGAUUGACAGAUAUUUGAAAACUUAAAAAUCUUGAAAAUUGACGGUCCAAUGCAUUACAAAAUACACUAGUUCCAAAACUUGAAAUCCAUUUUUUUCUCAUGUCCAUGCAUCUUGAUGUCAAGAUGAUCAAUUUGAGGAUAUUUGGGCAUCAAAACAAUAUUUUCUAGUGAAAUUUUUGAGGUAGGCUCUUAUUUGAUUAUUUAGAGCCUCAGCUCUAUAUAAACUUUUCCCAUUAAAAAACAUUUGGACCGUUAAUUACAAUUGUUUUUAGAUGGACCACCUAUUUGCAUCCAUCUUUAAGAUGGAUGCUUUAUACCUCUGGACAGCAUAUAGUAGAAAUGCGGUCCAGCCCGCAUGAAACAAUUGUUUUUAUUGAAAAGUAAUUUCUUUUAUUAUGAAGAGGGGCAAAUUUCUUGCAAGGUUGCGUAAUUUUCAGCGAACUUCUCGCCUUGAUUUCUCACAAAAGCCAUGGUGGAUCGAUAAUAAAUAUGACUAUAUUGUUUCUUGAGAUGAGAGCUUUCUCGAAAGUUAUGAUUUCUGGGGUAUUUUGUCUCCUUGUGAUGAGAACUUCCCCACAGAGUAGGAUGAUGUGGCGUUUCGAGGAUACUCUGGUGAAACAAAUGCCCUCCAACCAUUACGUAUUAGGGAAGGAAAUAUUAAAAGUUGUUGUAGCUGUCUACCUCCAAGAACAAAUCUUAAUUCCUAAAUCCUAAAAUUCCUAUAAACCCAUAACCCUGAACUAUAGGGACAUAAAAGCCAGUACAUCCUAACCAAUAGCCCAUAACUCCUAAAAACUACAAAAUCUUCUUAAACAAGUCGAAUCAACCCAAAUUUGUCCACAUUCUGAUUGAUUUAGACUUAUCCAAAACAAAAAAUAGAGUCCUAAAGCGCUAAGAAAACCUAUAUCAGACAUCUCAAAACCCAUUUGAUUGGUACCAAACUAGCACUUCUAAACUCAACAGGUUUUUAUACCACCCAGAAAAAUUUAGGCCGGAUCUAAGCUAGCAGUGAGAUGUGCAUCGCUCGACUCUUUUUGCACCAGAUUUUUUGAGAGACUCUUGUUAGCCUAGAUAAAUCCAUUACUAUAUUGGACCAACUUCGGUUCAGUUUCUAGAAGGUAUAUUUCAGGAAUUUUCUAGAGCCCUAAAACCUUGUAGAAGACAAAAUUCUUUGACCAAUCAAACCCUAUCAUGAAGCCUAAAGAUAGAUCUAUAACUCCAAUUCUGGAUUGAAUUAGAACCAAAGUAGAGGUCUAUAUACAACUACCUCUAGUUUCUCUCCAUUCAUAAUAAAAAAUAACGUAAAAUCCUAGGGAAGUUCCUUAAGGGCCCGUUUGAUAACUGGAAGCAAGUUCAUGAACUGUAAAUUGGACAUUCCUGAAGAACUUUAAAUUAGAAGUUACUUAAGAAGUUCAUGGUUUCUGUGUUUGAUAACUUCUCUGGGAAGUUAAGAAGUUCCUGGUUUAUGUGUUUGAUAGCCUCCCGGGAAGUUAAGAAGUUCCUGGUUUUUAUGUUUGAUAACCUCCUGGGAAGUUAAAGAAGUUUUGGGUGUCUGUAUUGGAUUAGCUUUAAAUAGAUAAGAUGUAAAAUGUUAAAAUUGAGACCUAGACAUUAUUUAUUUGUUAUUAAUUUGUAGAAUUUUUUUUUUAAAUUUUAUUAAUUUGUAGAAUAUUAUUUUUUGGGGAUACAAUAUCAAUUGAAAGUAAAGUAUAUUGGAUUGAGAGAGAGAGGGAGAGAAAGAGAGUGUUAUUGAUGAGUGAGAGAAGUGUCCUAGAGAGAUAAAUUUGUACAUAAAUUGAAGCAAGAUGUUGCAUAAUAAACUUCAUUGCACCUCAAAAUUGAAGCAAUCUAUAGACAAUGUCAAGCAGAACCUCAAUUCAAUAUUAUGUACUAAAUCACUAGUUUCCUAAUCAACUGUCUCAAAAUAGAAAUCAACAUAUUUUCUUAACUAUUGUGGGUAUACAAUCUAUUGAGUCUUUUUACAAAUAUGCAGUGGAAUAGGUGUUUAAAUUUCAUAAGUAGGUUGUCGAUGACUUUCUUCUUAAACCGAUUACAAACUCUCUCUUGCUCUCUCGUUAUUCCUCACACACACGUGCACACACAUACAUGCACACUCAUUAUCUAUCGGCAGCCAUGGCAAUUGUGGAUUUGGUUUCCUGUAUUCUAUUGGAUUGUGCUAUAAUAGCUUCAGCACAACAUACAAACACACAUGCACAAUUAAUGCAUCCAUAUACAAGCAAUAAGAAACCAGCUCAUUCAAUAACAACUUGUAAUAGCUUGAACACCACUUUGACAUACAUUCACAACUGAUGCAUCCAUAUCCCAACCUCAAAAAUAUAUCUCAUUCAACAAUAAAACAACAUUGUUGUUUGUCCCACAAUGUUCCCAACAUUAAUGAAAAGAAAGACUAGAUGCUUAGGAAGACAAUCUAGAGAUGCCGAGAUCCCUUGAGGAAGACAUCAAUACCUAUUUCUUCCCCCUUCCACAUGGCCUCAAUGAAGCAUUUGUGCCAAAUAUCUUCUCCAAUUUGUUGAAGUAUAUAGGCAAAGAUUUACCUCUGUACUUUGUCAUAUAAGUAAACUCCAGUAAGAAGAACACACAUAUGUAUUGAAUUUGUGUGAACAUUGCACCUAAACUUGCAAAACCACAAAGAAAUAGACAACAAAUGCAUUUCAACUCACAGCUGUAUACCGAUCCCAUAUGGCUGGUUCGGCAGUCACCAUUCGAUUAGCCUUAUCCCAGCCAAAACAGGGUUGUCUCAAAAUGUUUCUUACGUACUUCCCUGUACAUUUCUACAGACUGCUUGACCUUACUCUUCAACAGUUCCAAGUCAUAAAAGUACCCAUAAUUGCUUACCAUAUAUUUUGUCAUCUGAUUCCGUACACCUUUCUUGAAGUCCCCCUUUCUUUACCUCUUUCGACAAGAGAUCAAUGAAUUGGGCCUCCUCUACAGGGUUCCACUGGCUCAUAUUGUUAUGGUAAUCUUUAGCAGUUAUAAUAAAGCCUCAUUAGGUUGAUUUCUUUAAACUAGAUGGCACUUAAUAUUAAGUAUAAAUAAACAAUAAAAAGUACAAGGCAUUAUAGCUCAAACAUAAAUAUUUAACAAAAGUUGACAUUUUCUCCAAAAAUAUAGGCACAUUUAACAAAUAACCCUGCCUAACUAUAUAGGCAAUCCUAAAUAACUGUAGUCUUAAGCGAUCAUAGUCACACCAAAGAAGUCCAACUUCUGGAGGAAUGGAGGACAAGCAAGUUUUUGUGUAUUGUAGUUUUACAAGAAUCUAGGCUGUGUUUUGGGAAAAGGGGGGGGGUUACAAGUAAUAGCCUUUCCCCAUAGAUUAUAACGGACCACACUACGACGCCAACGAAUCUUAAAUGGGUACAAGAAAAAAACAUUGGCGUUGCUGAAAAAAUGUACGCCCAAAUGAGGCCUCAGUCACAACCAUUCUUCUACCGCUGAAAAAUUCAUCGGCUCUCUCUAAUAGACAAAAACGUCCAAAGAAUCAUGAUUAUGAUAUAUUAUGGGAGUACCUUUACUUGGAUAUUCAUCAGGCAGAUGUAGUCAAAAUUAGAUAUUAGCAGACUACUUAACAAACCAACCACAUAGCAUGAUACUUCCAUUUCAUAUAUUUGACCAACAAUGUAAAACAUACGGCCUAUCCAUAUUGUUCUCAUGCGACUUUGGGGACAGCAUACAAUGCUAAAAGAUUAAUACAAGUUCGAUAAAGAAAUGGCAUUACAUUCACAAAUUGAAAAAGAAAUGACCAUAAACAAAAAUUUCUUCCACAAAUGCUACACAUUCAGGAAGCAUCACACAUACUGGAAUUUUCAGGAAUCAAUUACCAAUUAGUCGAUAAUCUAAUCAUGAGAUUCUAGAUAAUCAAACCAAAAUUAAUAGUUAAUAGCUACUACAGCUCCUGAUAUGAGAAAACAGAUGCAUGCAAACAAACAGUCAUAAGAUGUAUUUUCUUUUCUUUUGUUUUCUUUUUCAAAGGCUACAGUCUCACUUGUUUUUUCAGAAGUGUGACCAGAUACUUACUUGCUCUUACAAUCCACACAUUCCCUGUUCUCUGGCAGUUUUAGAAGCCCCUCCAAUAUCUAAAAAGAACAAUACCCAAAGAAUAAUUAAUUCUAAUUUAUUCAACUUAAAUUUGUAAAUUAAUAAGCAUUAUCUGCUCAAAAGUACAAAAAGCUCUCUCCAAAAACCUCCGAACACCAUGAAAUAUGAAAAUAACAAAAACAUAGAAGAUUGACAACUUCCCAUAAAGAAUCGAAUAGUAACCCAGGAAAAUGAAACUGGCCAACAUAAAACAAAUUAGUAACAGAUGCGGGCUUCUAAGAUGACAAAGUUAACAACUUGACCUGAAAGAUCCCUGUUUCAAACUCCUAUUUAAGACCCUUCUCAUCUUUUGGAACUUUACACAUCAAACAAAUCUUGACUGGAUCAAUAACUAGCAAAUCACAAAAGCUCACAUGUAGAUUUGAUUCAUGUGUUCACCAAUCUUAAAUGAGAAACCUUGAAUGCUAUAUGAUAUGUGCAAUAUUUCAUAAACCCGCACAAAUUCUUUCAAAACAUCAUAAGAUGAGAUCAAUAGACUUAAGAAAAUCACCAACUAACAUCAAUUCCAUUUUCAAAUAAUUUCAGCUCAGGCAAUUUUACCGAGAGAGAGUGGCAAAGCAAAUGCAGUACUAACAAUAAUACUAAAACCAAAAUGUUUUAACAGAAAGAUACCACAAUUUCCAAUCUUUUUGCUAAUGCUUAAUACAUGAAGACUAAAAAAAAAACCAACCUAAUACAUAAAAACUAGAUAAUAACAGUAUCUGUCACUUGAUUAGAUUUUAAGACAUGCAUGCCUUCCACCCAUAUUUCAAUCAAAUUCAAAAUGAGGGGAAAAAAUAGGAACCCAAAAUGAUCAAAUAAUUCAAUUCACAUUAGUAAUAUUGGGAAUGAGAAAUGUGAAAAUAAAGAAGAAAAUAAUACAAGGGAGAGAAAUUUUACAAUAAUUGAAGGGAAAGGUAAAAUAGGGAAUACCUUCUUGUGUUUGGCAUUAAGCUCCUUGGAUAAGACCCGUUGCAUUCACUUACAACAAGAAACAAGCACCUGCGUUUGGUGCAGCAGCUGCAUUUUGGUGCAUUCUUCUUCCUUUCCUUCGUCCUUCGUUCCGUCAUAUUCCAAAAAACUUAUCCAAUUACAACGUAUUAACCGCUAAUGCACCUUCCUUUUAUCAAAUCUCAGGGGGCCUUCUCGGGCCUUCUCGUUCAUGCUUGCCUGAAAUACAUAGAGAUUUGGCAGCUGAGGACAAGCGAAGAGAGAGAAAGAGGAAAAAUAAAUUCACCUGAGCUCUUUGCUUCAAGAGCUCAAAAACAAACACAGAGAUCAAUAACACAGAGAAUAAGAGCUCUUUGCUUCAAAAGCUCAUGAACAAACACAGAGAUCAUCAACACAAAGAGAAUAAAGUCAAUGGCGUACCUCAAGAUCAAUGGCAAGGAUCAGAGCUCAAGGAUAGCUGAGUAAACACUAGCGGGCUGCAAAGAGAGGGGUUGGCAUGCUGCGAACAGAGGGCUGGUCAGCGGCUGAACUCGAAGAACAGAAGAGAGGGGUCGUGCUGCGAAGAGAGGGGUGCUCAAUGGCAAAGAUGGGAAGUUGCAAAGAGAGGGGUGCUCAGCGGGGUGGGUGUUCAGUGGUGUAAAUGAGAAAAGAGGCUAGGGUUAUCGAAGAAGAGGAAGUUACAAACUUCCAAUUUUAAGUUCGCCCUUUGGGUCGGAACUUCUUU
Molecule: long non-coding RNA, 29129 nt
Filed under: Amborella trichopoda
Lineage: Eukaryota; Viridiplantae; Streptophyta; Magnoliopsida; Amborellales; Amborellaceae
Description: long non-coding RNA (ATRI_LNC005058)
Source: RNAcentral